Molecule: long non-coding RNA, 465 nt
Filed under: Triticum aestivum (bread wheat)
Lineage: Eukaryota; Viridiplantae; Streptophyta; Magnoliopsida; Poales; Poaceae
Description: long non-coding RNA (TAES_LNC007966)
Source: RNAcentral
UACAGAAUAUUGCCACUCAUCAGCAUCUGCAGCAUCUAAGGUCCUUUUUGUCACAUAUUCAUAUAUACUUGACAUUCUGCUUACUUUGUUUGCAACAUUUAAGAAUUGAGCUUCUCAAUAUUGCAUGAAUAUUUCAAUGAUGUACGAUGUUUCCCAUUCAAGCCACAGAUCCUUUUCGUCACAUAUUCAUAUUUACUUGAGAUUCUGCUUACUUUGUUUGCAACAUUUAAGAAUUGAGCUUCUCAAUAUUGCAUGCAUAUUUCUAAUGAUGUAUGAUGUUUCCCAUUCAUGCCACAGAUGAGGAAUCAUUGUCCGCAUGCAUUACAAUCAGGGGAUCGUUCCCCAUGUAAAGAUCCGACGAAUACACCUACUCAGGAGACUGCAAAUCAAGCAGAUUCUUCUUCGUCACUGCAUGUGCCACGAACCCCUUUGAGCAACAUAACCAACUCAGUUGUAAAUCAAGAU